Molecule: long non-coding RNA, 3823 nt
Organism: Brassica rapa (field mustard)
Lineage: Eukaryota; Viridiplantae; Streptophyta; Magnoliopsida; Brassicales; Brassicaceae
Source: RefSeq, a predicted model, not a curated record
AUUCUAUCAAACAUUUACAACUUUCCAAACUUUGAGAUUAUGUAGAGACGGUUUGGAGAUCUUGUCACACAAACUAGAAACCUUCCAUGCGAAUCUAUGAGCGUUAAGUAGACAUCUUUCAUGUUAACCUCACAUCCGUUUUCUGUUGUUUGCCCAAGACUCAAUAUGUUGUGCUUCAGGUCGGGUAUGUAGUAUAUGUCUUUGAGUGCCUUCUUCUCUCCAGUCUUGCACACAAAGGUAACCACACCCCUUCCUACAAUGUCAACACAUGAUCCAUCUCCAAACUUCACCUUCCCUUUGGUGUUGAGAUUCAAACUCGAAAAGAACUCCUUGUUCCCUGUCAUGUGAUUGCUCGCUCCAUUAUCCAAAUACCAGACAAUUGCAUUGCCUUUGUCGAUAUCAAGAUUCUUCGGAAUCACCUUAUCUUCGUUCAAAAACACCACCUUGUGUACAUAGAGUGCAUCGGCCUCUUCUGUCUCGUUUAGGUUGGUUUCUUGAUUCUUCUAUGUCUUCUCGGGAUAGAAAGUUGUGUAGUGACCAUGCUUGUUACAUCUCCAACAUAUCAGCUUUGAACGAUUCUUCUUGGAGUUGUUAUCUUCGGUGUAUGACGCACGGUUUUGGUUGUGUGACCUACCUCGACCUCUGGCUCUACCGUUCCUUCCUCUUCCUCUACCACGAGAAUUCUCAUAGCCCAUCUAACUAUGCUCUUCAUUGUUCGAAAACAUCAGCUUCCCUUGGUCUUCUUUCUGAGUUUCUUCUCCUACACGCUCCUCGUACGCCUUAAAUCUUCCAACUAUGUCACCCCGUCGACUUGAGAUCUAUGACUUUCUCAAGUGAUGCUACGAUCUGGAUAUACUUGUGUCUCAGACGACCCUUCAAAAACUUUUUGACCAUCUUGGAUUCUUCUAUGUUUUCUCCCAACGAGGUUGCUUUGGAUGAUAGGCCCGAUAUAUUCCCCGUGAAGUCAUCGACCGUAUCGUUCUCAUCCAUCUUCAACCUAUCAAACUCCGUCAUCAACGUCUGAAGUCUCGCCUCCUUUACACGAUCAGCUCUUAGGUGCGCGACAUGAUGGCGUUCCAGAUCUCUUUUGAUGCGGUUUGUUCUCCCACCUGGAGAAUCAAUGUCUCUAGAACAGAUUGAAACAAAAGAGCUAUCGCAACAUCAAUCUUCUUUUGAUCAUCUGAACCGGGUUCGAUCGUGUCCCACACUUCAUGAACACGAAGUAGAACCUUCAUCCUCAUUGACCAAACUGUGUAGUUUGUCGAUGACAACAUCGGACAUUGGAUGGAUGUUGAUCCAAAGUCCUUCGUGCGUGAAGCCCUAGUCAUCUUGCCGCCGCGAUCUCUUGUUCACAAGAAUCAGGAUCUUAAGGUACAACUUAAGCUUAGAUCGAGUCUCCAACUUGAGGCUCUGAUACCAAUUCAAAUCUCUUGGAAACACAAAUAGUUAUAAAAACAACUUUUCUAAUGUGAGAUGUCAAUCUAAAUCCCACAUUGGAAAUUAAACAAAGGAGAGUCUAAUAUAUAAAGAGAUGUCCAACUCUAAUUAGUACGAGGCCUUUUGGGAUGGAAACCAAAAGUAAAUCCAUACGGGCUUGCCUUUUAAGCCCAAAGUGAACAAUAUCGUACUAAUCAGAGUUGGACACGGGAUUUCACAAUCCCAACAAUUGGUAUCAGAGCGGUUUGACGAAAAUCUGCAAGAAGACCAAAAUAUCCUUCGAGUAGGAAUGGGACCCUUUAAGGUGGAAAAGGAGGUUCGGCAGAGAUAGUCAAGAAGAUCUUGGAAGUUCAGUUGUGGGAGAACAUUCUCAAAGGAACGAGAUGUUAUGAAAGACACAUUCUCAAAGGAAAUCCCUGCGAUUACUGGUACAAGGUGGUGCCAAGAUAAUCCACUGAAUGAAGAAUACACGAGAUGAGUGUGGUCUUUAGCUUGAGGGAGAGAAUGUGAGAUGUCAAUCUAAAUCCCAGAUUAGAAAUUAGAUAAAGGAGAGUCUAAUAUAUAAAGAGAUGUUCAACUCUAAUUAGUACAAGACUUUUUGGAAUGGAAACCAAAAGUAAAUCCAUGCGGGUUAGGGGUGUUCAAUCCGGAUAUCGGUUCGGUAUCGGUUCGGUUUUCUCGGUUUUUCGGUGUUUCGGUUUAUAAAAAAUAGCUACCAUAUUAAAACCAUAUUUAAUAUGGUUUGGUUCGGUUUAUAUACCGUCGGUUUUUGGUUUAUUCGGUUUUAUACCAAAAAACCGUAAAUAUAUUUAUCUUUUAAAAUAUUUUUGAAUUUUACUUUAUAAGAUUAGAUAUCGGCUUUAAAUUUAAUUAUAACAUGGCGAUAUUUUGUUUUUAAAUAAUCUAUUUUUUAUUUUACUAUUUAAAUAAUCAGUAAACAUAUUUAAUUAAUAAAAGUAAUAGUUUUAUGGAAUAAAAGUAAGAAAUAUCAGUAAUCCAUAAUACUAUUAAACAAAAAAGUAAAAAUUAUGUUUUUUUUUUAAUUUGAUAAAAAGAUUUGAACUUAAAAUAAAAUAUUAAAUAACUAAAAUAAAUAUUUAAGUAGGAAGAUCAUACCAAUAAAAUAAAUUAGGUAUAUGUUAUUAAUUAUAUUAUAUAAUUUACAUAUACUUAUACUAUUAUAUUUUAAUUGAUCGGUUUAUUUGGUUUAUUCGGUUUGAUCGGUUUAUAUACCAAACCAUAUUCAUAUACCGUGGUUUUUUAAAAAUGACAUCCAUUCGGUAUAUUGGGUACUACCAAAUCCAAACCAUUUUUUCCAUUUCGGUUUGGUUCGGUUUUAAUUGGUUCGAUUUUACCGGAUUGAAUACCCCUAAUACGGGUUUACCUCUUAAACCCAAAGUGAAUAAUAUCGUACUAAUCAGAGUUGGACACAUAAUUUCACAAUCCCAAUAAACACUGCCUCUUUUGAUUCACUUCUUGCAGAAGUGACACGAACAUGUUAUCCUUUUGUGUUUAUGAUCGGAUAAGGCUUGUAUUAACGACACUGGUCUUCUAUGUUGUCGGCGUCUCUUUUCUUCUUCUUUUUGUAGAAACAAAAGAACUUAAGAAAGCUGAUAUAAUUAAAAUAUAAGACUAAAAAUUAUUUAAUUUAAAUUUAAAAUAAAUCAUUUGUUCAUUUAUAAUAAUUUUAAAAUGAUUUCAUAUUAAAACUGUGAAUAUAUAUAUAUAUAUAUAUAUAUAUAAUAAGUUUAAAAUAAAUUAUUAUAUUAGUUAUUUUAGUACUUUCAUAAAUAACUGACAAAAUAUAUUUGAUUAUAUGUUAUAUCUUUAACAAAAACUCAAUACAUAAAGCUAAUGUAUAAUAUUAAUUUUAAUAAUUGUAUAUGUUUAUUUUCUCUAUUUUAUUACUAUUAAAUUUUGGAUUUUAUAUAAAUUAAAAACUAUGAUUUUAUAUUUUUGUUGAUUUAUGAUAUUGUAUCUUAAAAUAUACGGAAACGGAAUAGCUUCCAACUUGUUUUAGAAAAAUAUUUUAAAAAUGUUUUGGAAUCCAAAACGAAAUUCCACAACUUUCGUGCAACCUAACUUUUAAAGCCAUAUUGCUCUUUUUUAGUAUAACUUAAGAGUGCCACACUGGUUCUCUCUCUUUCUCUCUUUUGCAUUAUUUGGAAACUCAAAACACAACAAACAAAGUUUUUAAAGAACAUCAUCAAACGGUUUCAAGAAAAGAGAGAAAAAGAGAGGAGGGUUGUUUGAUUUAAGCAUCAUCUUCACCUAGAAGUGCGACGAGCAUCUUCUCGUAAUCUCCACGAGUGUCUUUGGUAAUGGCUUUCUCCAAUGGAAUGCUGUUCCUCCUCUGAUACUCUUCUCCAAUGACCUUCAAAUCAAU